Molecule: unclassified non-coding RNA, 256 nt
Filed under: fungal sp.
Lineage: Eukaryota; Fungi
Also listed under: 1 other name
Description: partial internal transcribed spacer region
Rfam family: Eukaryotic small subunit ribosomal RNA (bases 1-46)
Source: RNAcentral
AAGUCGUAACAAGGUAACCGUAGGUGAACCUGCGGUUGGAUCAUUACUAAAUGAUAAUCGUCAGUCGGUUGAGGUUGCUUCGGCGACUUCCUGGCUGGUGGUUUAACAACCCUUUGUGCACUAUAAUGUUUUUUGGGUCGGGGAUGUUAGCAAUAGCAUCAACGGCCCAGCAGUUUAACAAACCCCUUUUAAUUUGACUGAAUUGUUUUUUAAGUAAAAUUUUAAACAACUUUUGACAACGGAUCUCUUGGCUCUC